AUUAUUUCAAGGUGUUAUCCCGAAAGUUUCCCUCUGCAGUACUUAUCAAGUGGCGACGAGGUAAAAAGUUAUUGAAACGUGCUUAUUGACGAACGCUGAGCAACUUUGGUUAGUGGUGAUUUUGGUGCGGUGGCCCGGAGGAUAAUCUGCAUAACUACGGCGUAUAUACGGGGUCAUCGAACAACAAAAAAGAACGGAUCGAACUGAUUUCGGGUGCAGUGGUUUAGGACCUAUUAUCUCGCCUAAUAUUGAAGUUGAUCUGCCGCUAAUUUGUUGAAGUUUCGUUCGGCGGGGUCGGUGGCCAUUGAAACGCGAAAGAACAGUGUACGUUAACGCCGAAGUUGACGCUGAUUGGCAUCCAUACACUCUGCUCAGUGGCGAGAGCUUUGGUCAUCGGCGAUAAGGACUCAGGCGACAGGUGAAAAUCGGGUGAAUAGACGAAACUGUGGUUGGACAAAUCUCCGCCGCAUCCUAUUCGCUAGCUAACUGGCUAGUGCGAGUUGAAGUUGGCAGAUAUCUGGUGGAAAUUGGAAGCGUGCGAACAACAGCUCAUCGCACACAAAUUCGACCGUUUAUUGAACCGACCGUGCCGGAUCGACCUAACUUGAUGCUCCCUAUGACGAAUACUCGUAGUAUGACUAGAGCAAUCGGCGAGUCAGCUGAGAUGCCUACACCGGACAUUAGUUGUGAAGAUCCUGGAGCGGAUGCUGGGAAGCCAACUCGCUCGAGGCGGAAGAGAAGGAUGGAGAGCACAACGCCUAUUGAAUUAAGGCGUUCGAAACGAUCUAGGAUGAGCAAGACCGAUCCGGAUUUCGUGUAUUUUAAUUAGAGUUUGAAGUGUGAAUAAUUGUCCGUUCGGAUUGAAAGCGACAGUUAGAGAAGAACUUGCGUAAGGGUAAAGGAGUUGUUGUGUCUCGAUAUGAGAUACGUUCUGAAAUAGACUGAUGAAUUACAUACAGUGUGCUGAAUUAUCACUUUUGCUUCUUCAUUAUUAUUUAGUGUGUAAUGUAUAUGUCAUUUGACAAGCUAUUAAUGUAGCGUCAGUAUAUAAAUAUACAAAUGUAUAUGUAUGCAAUUUGAG
Molecule: long non-coding RNA, 1081 nt
Organism: Armigeres subalbatus
Lineage: Eukaryota; Metazoa; Arthropoda; Insecta; Diptera; Culicidae
Exons: 3
Source: RefSeq, a predicted model, not a curated record